UAACAUUGUCAAUUUCUUAUUUUGAGAAUGAUUCCUCUAGACACUGAAGGUUUGUCUCGCUUUGUAGUAAUUGUUGUAAAUCAAGAUACAUGUGGGUGUAUUCUGAUGUACCCAUUCUGUCUUUGAACAAUUUCCAUAAUAAUUCAGCUUUUGCUUCAUGCUUUGUGAUUUGCAUUCCAUCAUCCGAGUAUAGAUGUGUGAUAGAAUUCUUUCGGUUUCGAACUGAUGCUUGUGCAUGGAAGAAUCUGGUACACUCAUCUCCUGACUUGAUCCACCUGACUUUCCCCCUUUGCUUCCAGUAGAUUUUUUGUUGGUGUAAUAGAUUUUCCAGAUGCUGCUGUAUUUCUUUCCUGAAGUUCCAUUCUUCAAUAGUCAGGUCUCUAGAUCCCUC
This 391-nucleotide long non-coding RNA is filed under the name Setaria viridis. RNAcentral describes it as "long non-coding RNA (SVIR_LNC010482)". The record is from RNAcentral. Lineage: Eukaryota; Viridiplantae; Streptophyta; Magnoliopsida; Poales; Poaceae.